This 449-nucleotide ribosomal RNA is filed under the name uncultured bacterium. Its description in RNAcentral is "partial 16S ribosomal RNA". It matches the Rfam family "Bacterial small subunit ribosomal RNA", at positions 29 to 523 of the family's 1533-position model. The record is from RNAcentral.
AAUGAACGCUGGCGGCAGGCCUAACACAUGCAAGUCGAACGGAUCCUUCGGGAUUAGUGGCGGACGGGUGAGUAACGCGUGGGAACAUACCCUUUGGUACGGAAUAGCCUCGGGAAACUGGGAGUAAUACCGUAUGUGGUCGAGAGACGAAAGAUUUAUCGCCAAAGGAUUGGCCCGCGUUGGAUUAGGUAGUUGGUGGGGUAAUGGCCUACCAAGCCGACGAUCCAUAGCUGGUUUGAGAGGAUGAUCAGCCACACUGGGACUGAGACACGGCCCAGACUCCUACGGGAGGCAGCAGUGGGGAAUCUUAGACAAUGGGGGAAACCCUGAUCUAGCCAUGCCGCGUAAUCGAUGAAGGCCUUAGGGUUGUAAAGAUCUUUCAGGUGGGAAGAUAAUGACUGUACCACCAGAUGAAGCCCCGGCUAACUCCGUGCCAGCCGCCGCGGUAA